UAAAAUCCAUUAGAAAAGUAUACUUUUGUUCUUGUGACAAAAAUAUAUGAAUUUUUAAAAAUCAUUUUCCUUAUGGUAAGAUAUGCUUAACCGACUAAACUCACUUUAAUUUUGAUAUCUCGGAGAAGAAGAGAGAUAUUGAGGAGAUUGAAACUGAAUUUAAAAGAAAAAAAAAACAACUUUUAUAAGCCGCAAAUAUUUUAAUUAAAAAAGACUACCUUAUGCCAAAAUAUUGCUUCGAAAACAGCCAAAAAUGGGUUUUUGAGAUUGAAUCGGGCAUUAGGCCCGGUGCACACAUGCGAUUUUUAACGCUUGAUGACGCAGCCGUUUGAAUUCACAGGAAUUACAUACGUGCGGUAGAGCAGCGGUGUUUUGGGAAUCUGCCUAGUUUUUUUUCUCGCAGGAAGCAUUACAGCAGAAGUGUUUGCAUACUCAAUUUAAUUGUGAGGAAUGCAAGAAUCAAACAACUUCUUCCAGUAUCCAAGUUGAUUGAGGACCCCUUCCACUUGCAUGCGCCAUCUAAGACGAGGUCUUCGUUUACUUCGCGACACUCUGGGUUGGAGACAAAAACUUUCCGGGCCGAAACAGUGUUUUCCAUGCGCUCUACAUAACUUAGCUAUUUCAGUCGCUGCCUCUUUGCUUGUUUAGCUAGGUUAUUGUUCUUGUGCAAUUCAGAUUGAUCCAAAAAUUGCUCGAAGAAUUUUUCUCUGGUAAAAAUCUACAAAUUCCAUGCCCUUGCGUCAUAUAGCAGAACUGGGAUGAAAAGAGUGUUGUACAUUGACACUUUAGUUACACAAUAGAGGAAAGAGGACUCUUUUGGUUUUUUUUGCCUUCUCAGGUCAAAGAAGCAGUGGCUUACAAAAUUUAAGCGCUGGUAUUGCCUGUGAUUUAUAACGGACCUUAGGUAGACAAUAUCUUUCAUUACUGGAAGUUAUGGCUGUGAAUAUCGUCAGCAUAUGUAGGUAUGAAUUUGGAAAGAUGGUACCUCUGAUAUUGACGUUAGAGUUGUGUAUCAUUCUUUCAAGGA
Molecule: long non-coding RNA, 1027 nt
Organism: Episyrphus balteatus (marmalade hoverfly)
Lineage: Eukaryota; Metazoa; Arthropoda; Insecta; Diptera; Syrphidae
Exons: 2
Source: RefSeq, a predicted model, not a curated record